This 484-nucleotide ribosomal RNA is filed under the name uncultured bacterium. Its description in RNAcentral is "partial 16S ribosomal RNA". It matches the Rfam family "Bacterial small subunit ribosomal RNA", at positions 30 to 507 of the family's 1533-position model. The record is from RNAcentral.
AUUGAACGCUGGCGGCAGGCCUAACACAUGCAAGUCGAGCGGAUGAAGGGAGCUUGCUCCUGGAUUCAGCGGCGGACGGGUGAGUAAUGCCUAGGAAUCUGCCUGGUAGUGGGGGAUAACGUCCGGAAACGGGCGCUAAUACCGCAUACGUCCUGAGGGAGAAAGUGGGGGAUCUUCGGACCUCACGCUAUCAGAUGAGCCUAGGUCGGAUUAGCUAGUUGGUGGGGUAAAGGCCUACCAAGGCGACGAUCCGUAACUGGUCUGAGAGGAUGAUCAGUCACACUGGAACUGAGACACGGUCCAGACUCCUACGGGAGGCAGCAGUGGGGAAUAUUGGACAAUGGGCGGAAGCCUGAUCUAGCCAUGCCGCGUGUGUGAAGAAGGUCUUCGGAUUGUAAAGCACUUUAAGUUGGGAGGAAGGGCAGUAAGUUAAUACCUUGCUGUUUUGACGUUACCAACAGAAUAAGCACCGGCUAACUUCGUG